RNAcentral lists this transfer RNA (71 nucleotides) under Bos taurus (domestic cattle). It matches the Rfam family "tRNA". From Rfam's summary of the family: Transfer RNA (tRNA) molecules are approximately 80 nucleotides in length. Their secondary structure includes four short double-helical elements and three loops (D, anti-codon, and T loops). Further hydrogen bonds mediate the characteristic L-shaped molecular structure. tRNAs have two regions of fundamental functional importance: the anti-codon, which is responsible for specific mRNA codon recognition, and the 3' end, to which the tRNAs corresponding amino acid is attached (by aminoacyl-tRNA synthetases). tRNAs cope with the degeneracy of the genetic code in two manners: having more than one tRNA (with a specific anti-codon) for a particular amino acid; and 'wobble' base-pairing, i.e. permitting non-standard base-pairing at the 3rd anti-codon position. The record is from Rfam by way of RNAcentral. RNAcentral also lists the same sequence under 5 other names. Lineage: Eukaryota; Metazoa; Chordata; Mammalia; Artiodactyla; Bovidae.
UUCCCUGGGGUUCAGUGGUUAGAACUUGGCACUUUGACUACAGUGCCCAGGUUCAAUCCCUGGUAGGGGAA